UAAUUGCUUUAUAUAUAAGAUGUUUAUUUUCAAGAUUCAAAAGACUGCUUUUGCAUAUUAGAGGUUAUAAAGCAGAAGUUAUGUUCUUAACUUAUUUAACAAGAUAACUAUUAUGAAGCUUCCAGUUAAGUCUGGAGUCAAUAAUAACGCCGAGGUACAUUACUUUAUGCAUCAAGGAAGAGAUGUCGCGGUAGAGUUACAGCUUUAAUUUUCCCCUUUUUUCUUUUUCUUGAGAUGAUCAUCGCAUGAAAUUUGGUAGGGUUUAUCGUAAUUUUCUACUUUGCAAACCUUUUUCAAGUGUAUAAGGAAAGCCUGCACACAUUUAAUAGCUAAUGCAGUUGAUUUCCAAAUACUAUAUGUGGCAACGGCGUCAGAGUAUAAAACUAGAAAAACUUUGUUGGCAGGAGAGGGAUGUGGCAUCAAGCAUAUAGGGAGAAUAAGAAAGUGAUGAAAGAGAGCGCAGAAGGACUGCAGCUUGAUGCCCCUGGGGACGGACAAGACUUCCCCUUAUUCGUAUUGACAAAUGAUUUACCACAAAGAAAUUAAUACAGCACGAGUAUAAGACUCUAUCAAAAGCUUUUUCAAUAUUGUUCUCUACGAUCCUUAAAAUUUGCUGUGUUGUGGAGUCUAUCCCAAGCAAGAGCCUUCAUUUUCUAAUUGCUGGAUAAUGAAGAGUGGAGCGCUUCUGAGGCCUCUUUCUAUCAAGGUAAUGACUUCAGUUGCGUGCGAUUAAUACAUUAUAAGGGUACACCAAUCCGACGCAAGCAUUUUCUUUUUAGUAACGUGCUUUCAAACUACUUUUUGGAUUUGAGCAACCCUAGCUCGCCCAAUGCGCAAGUAUUGAAUUAAGGCACGCCUUAGCCUGUAUUAAGUUCGC
Molecule: long non-coding RNA, 877 nt
Organism: Zophobas morio
Lineage: Eukaryota; Metazoa; Arthropoda; Insecta; Coleoptera; Tenebrionidae
Exons: 4
Source: RefSeq, a predicted model, not a curated record